This 475-nucleotide long non-coding RNA is filed under the name Olea europaea subsp. europaea. Lineage: Eukaryota; Viridiplantae; Streptophyta; Magnoliopsida; Lamiales; Oleaceae. The record is from RNAcentral.
CUAAGUUCGACCUCGAUGACUACAUCAAGAAUCAAGCUCAUGCACGCUUGAUGUUCAGCACUGAAGCGUUGAUCGAGUCCAAAAGCGUUGUGCAUUGAAAACAAACAAACACAUGUGCAUGAACAUUUGUUGAUUAAAUUAAACACAGUAGUGUGCACGAACAUUCAUCAAUUAAAUUAAAAACAAGGUAAUGUGCGCGAACAUUGUUCGAUGAAAUUAAUAACGAAAGUAUCAGCCCAGUUCGGGCAAUAUUACAAAAUUUUUUCAAAACAAAGUUAAAGACCUAAUCGAUAUCUACAACCCUGACAUUGUCCCCUUGAUCUCCAGUCCCGGCGUCAUCUCCAUCACCACCAUCAUCAUCCUCUUCACCAUAUUCCUCGACCUCAAAAGCUGAAAGUUCGAGCUCCCUUACGAGCUUGUUCACUGUCUUCAAAUCCUCAACCGGGGACUUUAAAUCCUCAGGGAUCUUCGUGCG